UAGGGAAUAUUGCUCAAUGGGCGAAAGCCUGAAGCAGCAACGCCGCGUGUGCGAUGAAGGUCUUCGGAUCGUAAAGCACUUUUCUGAGAGAUGAGAAAGGACAGUAUCUCAGGAAUAAGUCUCGGCUAACUACGUGCCAGCAGCCGCGGUAACACGUAGGAGGCGAGCGUUAUCCGGAUUCACUGGGCGUAAAGCGCGUGCAGGCGGUUUGGUAAGUUGGGCGUGAAAGCUCCCGGCUCAACUGGGAGAGGUCGUUCAAUACUACCAGACUAGAGAGCAGAAGAGGAAGAUGGAAUUCCCGGUGUAGUGGUGAAAUGCGUAGAUAUCGGGAGGAACACCAGUGGCGAAGGCGAUCUUCUGGUCUGUUUCUGACGCUCAGACGCGACAGCUAGGGUAGUAAACGGGAUUAGAGACCCCGGUAAUCCUAGCCGUAAACGAUGUGAACUUGGCGUUGGUGGCUUAAACACCAUCAGUGCCGAAGCAAACGCGAUAAGUUCACCGCCUGGGGACUACGGCCGCAAGGUUA
This 526-nucleotide ribosomal RNA is filed under the name uncultured bacterium. Its description in RNAcentral is "bacterial SSU rRNA". It matches the Rfam family "Bacterial small subunit ribosomal RNA", at positions 355 to 896 of the family's 1533-position model. The record is from RNAcentral.